Molecule: RNA transcript, 1522 nt
Organism: Anopheles coustani
Lineage: Eukaryota; Metazoa; Arthropoda; Insecta; Diptera; Culicidae
Gene: Scp2
Gene name: calexcitin-1
Exons: 8
Source: RefSeq, a predicted model, not a curated record
CGUACAGUUCAGCUCUUCAUCAACUGAUUCAUAGCGUCGUCGAGUUCCUACUGGACAAACAGUGCCGAUCUGGUAUAGUACUGUUUUCGGUGCGUUUCGUGUCAUACUGGUGUUUGCGUGCUCGUGGUUUCUAGCCCGUGGUGUUACAGUUUGUGCUAUUAUUUCCGGCUUUUCUUAACGUGUUACCAACUGUCGAUCACUUUCCAGAUCGUCAAUCCAUAUCUCUUCUGUGAUCGGAUAUUUGGAGCCUCAACAAUAGUUGUACUUUUCAAGAUAUCUUCCGUCGUCAGCAGCAGUUUUAGUUAAAUCAACAUGUCGGCUAUUUCGGAAUUCCGCAAAAAGAAGCUACUAUACGUUUUCAACGUAUUCUUCGAUGUUAACCAGAGUGGUGAAAUCGAUCUCAAGGACUUCGAGUUGGCUAUCGAGAAAAUUUGCGAACUUCGUGGAUGGCCUGCAGGUAAUCCAAAAAAUGUCGAAACGCACGACUGCAUGUUAAAAAUCUGGGAGGGUCUUCGCUCCAAGGCGGACAAGGACAACGAUGGCCAGGUUUCGGUUGAUGAAUGGUGCAACAUGUGGGAUGCCUACGCUAAGGAUCCAAGUACUGCCAUGGACUGGCAGUUGAGAUACAUGAACUUCAUGUUCGACCUGGAAGAUGCCUCGCACGACGGAACCAUCGAUGCCGAUGAGUUCUCCAUCGUUUGCUCGAGCUAUGGCGUUGACAAGAAUGAAUGCCAGGAAGCAUUCAAGAAGAUGUCGAAGGGAGCUGUUGAGGUGGAUCGCGAACAGUUCGCCGAGUUAUGGCGCGAAUACUUCUCAUCCGAUGAACCGUCCUCUCCCGGAAACUUCAUUUUUGGCAAAACAUCAUUUUAACGGAGUUGCAGUUUGUAAGCGCGUCAUCAACGGCCGGAGGAUCGACCACCAAUUCGAAAAUGCUACGAUUAAGCAGCCAACAGAGAAAAUGAUCAAAAUUACAACGAGAACGAAAAGGAUGGUAAUGGUGGUGGUGAUUGCAGUUAUCAAUAGAGAAACUAACGGAUGCAAGCAACCAGAAUCGUAGCACAGGAAGAGGAUUUCAUAGAUUAUUUCAGCAAGCAGCACGGGAUGUUGGAUACCUUGGAGCGAUGCAAGGAGAGAAGCGGUUGGUGGUGCCAAUAUAAUGAUGAACACAUAAAAAAACAAAGCGUGUCACUGGAUUAAUUUGGUUUUUGGUACAAUGAUAUAACGGAACGAAAAACAAAAUUUGCAGCUGAUUAAAUGGCAAAAUAGUGUCGUUUCUUCCAAAAACACUGCAAAACUGAACCAUCAUUGUGCUAGUCAAACCAUAUGAUUGUUGUAGUAAUAAAUGGGGCGUGCUGAUUUUAUUACACUGCACUCGAUAAUGAUGAUAUCAACAAUAGAGAUGUAUGUUUGAGUAGAUCGUGUGUAAUAGGAUGGAAUGAAAAUCAAUGUAUACCACCUUCUUCUACAGCAUGUGCGUGUUAAACUAUCUGAGUGUUUAACGGAACUAUGCAACAACUCUCAC